UUUCAAAUUGCAAGAGGCUGCUGAGGUAGUUUAUAAAGCUGCGAGAGCAGAUCAUACUCACAGAUUUUAAGCUAUCUCCACUGCCUUUAUUGUAUGAUUCUUU
Molecule: non-coding RNA, 103 nt
Organism: Brugia malayi
Lineage: Eukaryota; Metazoa; Nematoda; Chromadorea; Rhabditida; Onchocercidae
Source: RefSeq, a predicted model, not a curated record